This 466-nucleotide ribosomal RNA is filed under the name uncultured Alphaproteobacteria bacterium. RNAcentral's name for it is "bacterial SSU rRNA". It matches the Rfam family "Bacterial small subunit ribosomal RNA", at positions 9 to 524 of the family's 1533-position model. Lineage: Bacteria; Pseudomonadati; Pseudomonadota; Alphaproteobacteria. The record is from RNAcentral.
GAGUUUGAUCCUGGCUCAGAACGAACGCUGGCGGCAGGCUUAACACAUGCAAGUCGAGCGCCCCGCAAGGGGAGCGGCAGACGGGUGAGUAACGCGUGGGAAUCUACCCUUUUCUACGGAAUAACGCAGGGAAACUUGUGCUAAUACCGUAUAGGCCCUUCGGGGAAAGGAUUUAUCGGGAAGGAUGAGCCCGCGUUGGAUUAGCUAGUUGGUGGGGUAAAGGCCUACCAAGGCGACGAUCCAUAGCUGGUCUGAGAGGAUGAUCAGCCACAUUGGGACUGAGACACGGCCCAAACUCCUACGGGAGGCAGCAGUGGGGAAUAUUGGACAAUGGGCGCAAGCCUGAUCCAGCCAUGCCGCGUGAGUGAUGAAGGCCCUAGGGUUGUAAAGCUCUUUCACCGGUGAAGAUAAUGACGGUAACCGGAGAAGAAGCCCCGGCUAACUUCGUGCCAGCAGCCGCGGUAAC